This 253-nucleotide ribosomal RNA is filed under the name uncultured bacterium. Its description in RNAcentral is "partial 16S ribosomal RNA". It matches the Rfam family "Bacterial small subunit ribosomal RNA", at positions 524 to 776 of the family's 1533-position model. The record is from RNAcentral.
UACGUAGGGUGCGAGCGUUAAUCGGAAUUACAGGGCGUAAAGCGUGCGUAGGCGGUUCUCCAAGUCCGUUGUGAAAGCCCCGGGCUCAACCUGGGAAUGGCAGUGGAAACUAGGGGACUGGAAUCUGGCAGAGGGGGGUGGAAUGCCGCGUGUAGCAGUGAAAUGCGUAGAGAUGCGGCGGAACACCGAUGGCGAAGGCAGCCCCCUGGGCUGAGAUUGACGCUCAGGCACGAAAGCGUGGGGAGCAAACAGG